This 486-nucleotide ribosomal RNA is filed under the name uncultured bacterium. RNAcentral describes it as "partial 16S ribosomal RNA". It matches the Rfam family "Bacterial small subunit ribosomal RNA", at positions 30 to 507 of the family's 1533-position model. The record is from RNAcentral.
AUUGAACGCUGGCGGCAUGCCUUACACAUGCAAGUCGAACGGCAGCACGGGUGCUUGCACCUGGUGGCGAGUGGCGAACGGGUGAGUAAUACAUCGGAACAUGUCCUGUAGUGGGGGAUAGCCCGGCGAAAGCCGGAUUAAUACCGCAUACGAUCCACGGAUGAAAGCGGGGGACCUUCGGGCCUCGCGCUAUAGGGUUGGCCGAUGGCUGAUUAGCUAGUUGGUGGGGUAAAGGCCUACCAAGGCGACGAUCAGUAGCUGGUCUGAGAGGACGACCAGCCACACUGGGACUGAGACACGGCCCAGACUCCUACGGGAGGCAGCAGCGUGGAAUUUUGGACAAUGGGCGAAAGCCUGAUCCAGCAAUGCCGCGUGUGUGAAGAAGGCCUUCGGGUUGUAAAGCACUUUUGUCCGGAAAGAAAUCCUUGACUCUAAUACAGUCGGGGGAUGACGGUACCGGAAGAAUAAGCACCGGCUAACUACGUG